Molecule: long non-coding RNA, 2129 nt
Organism: Synchiropus splendidus (mandarinfish)
Lineage: Eukaryota; Metazoa; Chordata; Actinopteri; Syngnathiformes; Callionymidae
Exons: 3
Source: RefSeq, a predicted model, not a curated record
GCUUUACCAAACCGAUUUUUCAUGAAUUGUAUCCACAGCAAAACACUGGAGCUGCCCUUCAACCAAUCCAUGAAAAAGCAAAUUACUGUUGCGCUGCUCCACUUUCCUCCAUUUGUGCUCCUUAUCUAGGUUAGGUGGCAGGGGAGGGGCGCUUCUCGCUUGCACACACUCGGGCAAACACACAGGUGUUGGUGGGCUUUGUUGCGUCCUGUCUUACUAUCCCAUUCACUUUCUGGUCUGUUCAACAUGCUGUUAAAGUCACACUCUAAAAUGACUACAUCUGGUUCGUAAACUGCCUUUGUAUGGGCAGGCAAUCGAGGAGAUGCCAACUUCAAACAACUGAGGCAUUUGGACGCAGGCCCGUGGUUCUGGGUCCUGGUCCUACAAGCCAGAAUUUAGGGCAUUUGGCUCAGGAUUCCGGUAAUAAAAGUCAGGAAGGAAUACGUGUGAACGGUAAUGAGUCAGAAAAACAUAGCAAACAGGCCCUGGAGAAGCCGGUUGGCGCAUUCUCUGUCAAAGAAAACAUACCAACAUCGUCCUUAACUUAGUGACGGAAUUACCUUAGGUGACUUGGGUGAGAAAGAUCUGCUGUUGAGCAGAACAAAGAAAAAAAGGUGUAGACCCCCCUCCCCAUCCCCUCGGAGAGCCCAGCCUCGGCAGGCUGAGCGAAAAUGAUGAGCCAUAUGCUCCUGCAUGUCCUCUCUGCUGCCAUGGAGAUGGAAGAGAGAGGGAGUGGUGUGUUUGUAGAGCAAGCAGCAUAUGAGGAACAAUGCAAUGGAAGAGAAAUUCUGAGAAACAGGCUCACUUGUUGUUGUACAAUUAAUUCUGAUUCUGAAAAUACCAUCAGUGUGAAUUUCGCAUGUGCUUAGGUUGAUGAUGACUGGGCUGACUUUGAUCCUGCAUGAUCACCUCUGGUGACUUUGUUUUUAGGCUGCUCAUCAGAGCCAUUACAUGUUGGCAAGCCAGUUUGUGAUCCUCGGUGGUGAAUAACACCGGUUAUAAAGUCCACUCAUCCCUCUCUCUGCUAACCUCACCCACUGCUUUCUCGUCGCCUGCCUCUGCCUCCCUCCUCUUCAUGAUUGUUUGAGGGCUGAAUUAUUGAUGGCCAGAGGAGAGAGGAUGAGAAAUCAGAGCAGAGCUAAUCGCUGAUGCCUCUCUGUCCAAACUAUAGGAAUGGUACAGUAGAGGUGUCGUCCAGUCCGGUCCAGUGUUCUGCAGGGCAGCAGCUGAUCGCUUUUUCCGCACCUGUUUGCUAUUUGAAUGCACGUGCACCUGAUGGAGCAUUUUCAAGAGCUGUACCCAAGCAUGACUGGGCAGAAGCACUUCUGCUUCGGCCUCCGUCUUUUCUCAGUUCCUUUUCCUCCGAAACAACUCGGGGCCAGGUCAGAUGCACACACUGCUCGCUGUGCCCAACAAGCAAGCAUUCAAAGGAAAUGCCUUCAAACACAACAAACAAUGAUUUCUUUCUCAAAACACCUAUUACAUUGACGUUUUCCUUGCAAAGCACAGAUACUUCUACAGUGUGAACAUACAUGUCCAUUGUUAGUGAGAUGAGAAAUUCAUUCUGCAGGGCAGAUAAUAACAAAACAAGGCAUGCCAUGUAGAAAUGCCCGUGUUGUGUUGUUCAGUAUUGUUGUUGCCGCCGCUGCAUAUGUUGACUAGCAUAAUGGUAUAGAUUACAUUACAGACGGAGCGGUGCGAUGGAAGUCGAGCGUAACACAAAUUGACAGAAAUAAGAGCCAUUAAGGGUAAAAGCAACUGGAGAAGUCAAGAGAAUAGAAAGAGGGAGGGGAGAGAAAUGGGAGAGAAGAAAGAGAGCUAACUGAGUGUACGGGAGCAUUACAUCAUUCCUGACCUCAUUAGGGCUUUUCUCUGUCCCACCACUACCCCCAACACUCACUCUGCUACUGCUAUAUAUCCUCCCUCCUCUGCUCUUUACAGUGAUCCGCGCUCUAUGGCUGUCUCUGCUCCUGCACAUGUGGAGAAGCUUCACUCUCCCACAUGCAUGAGAAACAAUCUUCUCAUGUGGCUUACAAUGUGUCAGUUUCGUCUUAAAAGCCUCUUCUGGUUUGAAAGAUCCCACCAAUGAUCUAAGCCCUCAGGGAUACCGUUUAAACGGAGCUGUUUAC